This 429-nucleotide ribosomal RNA is filed under the name Gemmatimonadota bacterium. RNAcentral's name for it is "Gemmatimonadetes bacterium partial 16S ribosomal RNA". It matches the Rfam family "Bacterial small subunit ribosomal RNA", at positions 355 to 776 of the family's 1533-position model. Lineage: Bacteria; Pseudomonadati; Gemmatimonadota. The record is from RNAcentral.
UAGGGAAUCUUCGGCAAUGGACGAAAGUCUGACCGAGCAACGCCGCGUGAGUGAAGAAGGUUUUCGGAUCGUAAAACUCUGUUGUUAGAGAAGAACAAGGACGUUAGUAACUGAACGUCCCCUGACGGUAUCUAACCAGAAAGCCACGGCUAACUACGUGCCAGCAGCCGCGGUAAUACGUAGGUGGCAAGCGUUGUCCGGAUUUAUUGGGCGUAAAGCGAGCGCAGGCGGUUUCUUAAGUCUGAUGUGAAAGCCCCCGGCUCAACCGGGGAGGGUCAUUGGAAACUGGGAGACUUGAGUGCAGAAGAGGAGAGUGGAAUUCCAUGUGUGGCGGUGAGAUGCGUAGAUAUAUGGAGGAACACCAGUGGCGAAGGCGGCUCUCUGGUCUGUACCUGACGCUGAGGCUCGAAAGCGUGGGGAGCAAACAGG